RNAcentral lists this ribosomal RNA (497 nucleotides) under uncultured bacterium. RNAcentral describes it as "partial 16S ribosomal RNA". It matches the Rfam family "Bacterial small subunit ribosomal RNA", at positions 28 to 507 of the family's 1533-position model. The record is from RNAcentral.
GAUGAACGCUGGCGGCGUGCCUAAUACAUGCAAGUCGAGCGAACAGACGAGGAGCUUGCUCCUCUGACGUUAGCGGCGGACGGGUGAGUAACACGUGGAUAACCUACCUAUAAGACUGGGAUAACUUCGGGAAACCGGAGCUAAUACCGGAUAAUAUAUUGAACCGCAUGGUUCAAUAGUGAAAGACGGUUUUGCUGUCACUUAUAGAUGGAUCCGCGCCGCAUUAGCUAGUUGGUAAGGUAACGGCUUACCAAGACAACGAUGCGUAGCCGACCUGAGAGGGUGAUCGGCCACACUGGAACUGAGACACGGUCAAGACUCCUACGGGAGGCAGCAGUAGGGAAUCUUCCGCAAUGGGCGAAAGCUUGACGGAGCAACGCCGCGUGAGUGAUGAAGGUCUUCGGAUCGUAAAACUCUGUUAUUAGGGAAGAACAAAUGUGUAAGUAACUAUGCACGUCUUGACGGUACCUAAUCAGAAAGCCACGGCUAACUACGUG